GACGAACGCUGGCGGCGUGCCUAAUACAUGCAAGUAGAACGCACAGUUUAUACCGUAGCUUGCUACACCAUAGACUGUGAGUUGCGAACGGGUGAGUAACGCGUAGGUAACCUGCCUGGUAGCGGGGGAUAACUAUUGGAAACGAUAGCUAAUACCGCAUAAUAUUGAUUAUUGCAUGAUAAUUGAUUGAAAGAUGCUAUUGCAUCACUACCAGAUGGACCUGCGUUGUAUUAGCUAGUAGGUGAGGUAACGGCUCACCUAGGCGACGAUACAUAGCCGACCUGAGAGGGUGAUCGGCCACACUGGGACUGAGACACGGCCCAGACUCCUACGGGAGGAAGCAGUAGGGAAUCUUCGGCAAUGGACGAAAGUCUGACCGAGCAACGCCGCGUGAGUGAAGAAGGUUUUCGGAUCGUAAAGCUCUGUUGUAAGAGAAGAACGGGUGUGAGAGUGGAAAGUUCACACUGUGACGGUAGCUUACCAGAAAGGGACGGCUAACUACGUG
RNAcentral lists this ribosomal RNA (505 nucleotides) under uncultured bacterium. Its description in RNAcentral is "partial 16S ribosomal RNA". It matches the Rfam family "Bacterial small subunit ribosomal RNA", at positions 28 to 507 of the family's 1533-position model. The record is from RNAcentral.